UUAUAUUAAGUGAAAUAAGUCAGAGAAAGACUGAUACUGUAUGACAUCGCUUAUAUGUAGAUUCUAAAAAUGCCGUAGAAACAGAGACUAGAAUGGUGGUUACCAGGGGCUGGAGGAUUGGGGAAAAGCGGAGAUGUUGGGCAGAAGAUACAAACUCCAGUUCUAAGUCAUCCUCCUACUAUUGGAAAUUUUGUUGAAGAAACAUGGGAAGAUUUAGAAAUUUAUAAUUUGCAAUCCAGCCCUCAAAAUACCAGGAAAGUACAACUAGUCCUUCUGGGGAUGUUUUCUCAAUUCUUCUUCAGAUUUCAUAGAAGAAACCUGAGGUCUGUGAUUAAAAGAAGAAACCAAGGCUCAAGGAGAUUAAGUAAUUUGCCUACAACUGCAUCACUUAGGAAGUGAAGCCAGAGCCUGAAGAAAGCAGUUUGAAGAAGGCAACCUUCCUCCAAGUCCUUCACCUACACUUUAGAUUUAUCUUCCUUGCUAGCUUUUGAAGUGUCUGAAAAAUGGGGGGCCUGGGUGGCUCAGUUGGUUGAGGGUCAUGAUCUCACGGUCUGUGA
Long non-coding RNA from Leopardus geoffroyi (Geoffroy's cat), 557 nucleotides. RefSeq lists it as uncharacterized. NCBI's taxonomy places the organism in Eukaryota, Metazoa, Chordata, Mammalia, Carnivora, Felidae. The transcript is spliced from 4 exons. The record is from RefSeq and is a predicted model, not a curated record.